CGUCUUUCUCCACUUAAUUACCAAACAUGAUUGACAACAACAUCAGAAACCUCAUGAAGCAAUUAAGGAUCAUCAUCAUAAGGUUCAUUUAAAGCUGGUGAAGAAGAGAGUUCCAAAAUAGAAAAUCCAUUGGUUUGAAACUCAGCCAACUCAGAUAAAUGAACUUGUUGUCCACAUAUGAUAUUUCCCCUCAAAUCCAAAUGCUCCAGUUUACCUUUUGCAGCUUUUACAGCAGAGGAAAGGAUUGACAAAGAUUCUUUGGGCAUAAAGUUGUAUUUUGCAUUUACUGUUGAAAGAUCUGGAGCAUGAGAGAAAAGCUUUGACAGAAAUCUUGCAGUUUCAAUUCCACCUCGAUUUUUGCUUAUGUUGAUUGAGUGGAGCUUUGUUUCCUUCACUAUCGCUUGGCCUGCUCUCAUGAAGCCAGUAGAACCUAGUCCAAUGUCUUCAAUAUCAAGAGCUUGAAUACCACAGCAUAGAAACUUCCCUAGUGCUGUUCCUAUUUCACUGCCAAGAGAGUUGCCUCCGAUCGAGAGAAAAUUCAGUGGUUUUCUCAAAGAUG
RNAcentral lists this unclassified non-coding RNA (559 nucleotides) under Hevea brasiliensis (rubber tree). Lineage: Eukaryota; Viridiplantae; Streptophyta; Magnoliopsida; Malpighiales; Euphorbiaceae. The record is from RNAcentral.